Molecule: ribosomal RNA, 252 nt
Filed under: uncultured bacterium
Lineage: Bacteria
Description: partial 16S ribosomal RNA
Rfam family: Bacterial small subunit ribosomal RNA
Source: RNAcentral
UACGUAGGUCCCGAGCGUUGUCCGGAUUUAUUGGGCGUAAAGCGAGCGCAGGUGGUUUAUUAAGUCUGGUGUAAAAGGCAGUGGCUCAACCAUUGUAUGCAUUGGAGACUGGUAGACUUGAGUGCAGGAGAGGAGAGUGGAAUUCCAUGUGUAGCGGUGAAAUGCGUAGAUAUAUGGAGGAACACCGGUGGCGAAAGCGGCUCUCUGGCCUGUAACUGACAUUGAGGCUCGAAAGCGUGGGGAGCAAACAGG